RNAcentral lists this transfer RNA (74 nucleotides) under Salmonella enterica. RNAcentral's name for it is "tRNA-Gly". It matches the Rfam family "tRNA". Rfam says of the family: Transfer RNA (tRNA) molecules are approximately 80 nucleotides in length. RNAcentral also lists the same sequence under 4 other names. Lineage: Bacteria; Pseudomonadati; Pseudomonadota; Gammaproteobacteria; Enterobacterales; Enterobacteriaceae. The record is from RNAcentral.
GCGGUUAUCGUAUAAUGGCUAUUACCUCAGCCUUCCAAGCUGAUGAUGCGGGUUCGAUUCCCGCCGACGCUCCA